This 417-nucleotide ribosomal RNA is filed under the name uncultured fungus. Its description in RNAcentral is "eukaryotic LSU rRNA". The stretch from base 1 to 152 matches the Rfam family "5.8S ribosomal RNA". The record is from RNAcentral. Lineage: Eukaryota; Fungi.
CUUUCAACAAUGGAUCUCUUGGUUCUCGCAUCGAUGAAGAACGCAGCGAAUUGCGAUAUGUAAUGUGAAUUGCAGAAUUCAGUGAAUCAUCGAAUCUUUGRACGCACCUUGCGCCCUUUGGUAUUCCGAAGGGCAUGCCUGUUUGAGUGUCAUUAAAUUCUCAACUUCAACACUUUUUUGUAUUGAAGCUUGGAUGUUGGAGGGUCUUGCGGGCAUAUAUUAAUGUCAGCUCCUCUUAAAUGCAUUAGCAGAACCUGUGUUCGGCUCUGGUUUGAUAAUCCUAUCUAUGCCAUUGCUGAAAUGUCAUUGUUCAGCUUCUAAUGGUCCAUUGGACUGUCUCUUCAGAGGCAUAUAUUUUGACUUGACCUCAAAUCAGGUAGGACUACCCGCUGAACUUAAGCAUAUCAAUAAGCGGAG